RNAcentral lists this unclassified non-coding RNA (328 nucleotides) under Coprinellus sp. RNAcentral's name for it is "partial internal transcribed spacer region". The stretch from base 1 to 46 matches the Rfam family "Eukaryotic small subunit ribosomal RNA", at positions 1786 to 1831 of the family's 1831-position model. Lineage: Eukaryota; Fungi; Basidiomycota; Agaricomycetes; Agaricales; Psathyrellaceae. The record is from RNAcentral.
AAGUCGUAACAAGGUUUCCGUAGGUGAACCUGCGGAAGGAUCAUUAACGAAUAACUAUGGUGUUGGUUGUAGCUGGCUCCUCGGAGCAUUGUGCACGCCCGCCAUUUUUAUCUUUCCACCUGUGCACCGACUCUUGGUCUGGAUACCUCUCGCCUCCCUUCUCUUAGGGUUAAAGCGGAUGCGGGGAUUGCUCGCAAGGGCUCUCCUCGAACUUCCAGGCUCUACGUCUUUUUACACACCCCAAUAGUAUGAUCCAGAAUGAUAGUCAAUGGGCUUUCAUAGCCUAUAAAACACUAUACAACUUUCAGCAACGGAUCUCUUGGCUCUC